GUAAAAUUACACCUGAUUUUCACUUAAACUUCUAGGACUUACUGGGCAGCUAAAGGGCUCCCCGCCCCCUGCACUGCUAUAAAAAUGCUUUAGACCGUAGGACAGAUCAGUGCUCAAAGUUGUCAUCAGGAUUUUUUCAUACACAAAGUUUGUCACUCUCACCUAUUUAAAUUAUACCAGUAUGACCCAGGUCACAGACAGUACAGCU
This 208-nucleotide long non-coding RNA is filed under the name Bos taurus (domestic cattle). Its description in RNAcentral is "long non-coding RNA NONBTAT026517". Lineage: Eukaryota; Metazoa; Chordata; Mammalia; Artiodactyla; Bovidae. The record is from RNAcentral.